GACGAACGCUGGCGGCGUGCCUAAUACAUGCAAGUCGAACGAGAGCAACCGGUGCUUGCACUGGUCAAUCUAGUGGCGAACGGGUGAGUAACACGUGGGUAACCUGCCCAUCAGAGGGGGAUAACAUCCGGAAACGGAUGCUAAAACCGCAUAGGUCUUCGAACCGCAUGGUUUGAAGAGGAAAAGAGGCGCAAGCUUCUGCUGAUGGAUGGACCCGCGGUGCAUUAGCUAGUUGGUGAGGUAACGGCUCACCAAGGCCGUGAUGCAUAGCCGACCUGAGAGGGUGAUCGGUCACAUUGGGACUGAGACACGGCCCAAACUCCUACGGGAGGCAGCAGUAGGGAAUCUUCCGCAAUGGACGCAAGUCUGACGGAGCAACGCCGCGUGAGUGAAGAAGGUUUUCGGAUCGUAAAACUCUGUUGUUAGAGAAGAACAAGUGCUAGAGUAACCGUUAGCGCCUUGGCGGUAUCUAACCAGAAAGCCACGGCUAACUACGUG
Molecule: ribosomal RNA, 498 nt
Filed under: uncultured bacterium
Lineage: Bacteria
Description: partial 16S ribosomal RNA
Rfam family: Bacterial small subunit ribosomal RNA
Source: RNAcentral